This 253-nucleotide ribosomal RNA is filed under the name uncultured bacterium. RNAcentral describes it as "partial 16S ribosomal RNA". It matches the Rfam family "Bacterial small subunit ribosomal RNA", at positions 524 to 776 of the family's 1533-position model. The record is from RNAcentral.
UACGCAGGGUGCAAACGUUGCUCGGAAUUAUUGGGCGUAAAGCGCACGUAGGCGGCUUUGCAAGUCGGAUGUGAAAUCCCUCGGCUCAACCAAGGAAGUGCAUCCGAAACUGCAGAGCUUGAGUACUUAAGAGGAUCGCGGAAUUCCCGGUGUAGAGGUGAAAUUCGUAGAUAUCGGGAGGAACACCAGUGGCGAAGGCGACUACCUGGCCUGUUCUUGACGCUGAGGCGCGAAAGCUAGGGGAGCAAACGGG